Coregonus clupeaformis (lake whitefish) is the source of this 4228-nucleotide long non-coding RNA. RefSeq lists it as uncharacterized. The transcript has 4 exons. Lineage: Eukaryota; Metazoa; Chordata; Actinopteri; Salmoniformes; Salmonidae. The record is from RefSeq and is a predicted model, not a curated record.
UUCUUUGACAUCAAAGGGAUAACUCAAAGUCAGGAACCUUGACUCUAGAUGUGUUCAGUCGUCAUCUCCUCAUUUUGUACUUAGUCUGUUCAAGGCGUAAAUGUGUUUCAGAUGACGUCCCGAUAUGGUAUGACCCAACCAGAGUAGAGUGUGUGUGUUACACGGUCUUCAUAUUGUUGGUUAGCAGAUAUUGUACAGUUUUAACCAUUUCUAUAGAGUCUUGCUUGAAAACCCCAGAUCCACAUAUUCAUUUUUUCAUUUAUAGGUCAUCUAUAAAACAGUAUUGUCAAUUUCUUAACCCAAAUUAUUUUCACAUACAGUAUAAUGUAUAAUAUCCUAAUUUACUGUUACGGUACUGUGUUAUUACAAACAAAUAUUUAUUCUUCAUAAUUUCAUUCAAGGCAAGCAAGUCCAGUGGAAUUGUACCCUUCCAGUGUCCUACUGCAAAGCAGAAAAAGCCGCCAUCUGCAAAAUCUGAGGCGCCGUCAUGAUCGUUGUGAGGAUCGUUAUGAGAAGAGAUAGCUGAGAGACAGAGGUCUUUCAAUCAGUUUACUAGAAUACAUUUUUCUGUGAGUAUGUAGGUGUUAUGCACAAUGUGAUGGUACUGUAGGGAGUAUGAUACCCUAGGUAUUAAUGCAUGUAUAAAGUUAUUGACAGAAUUAGAUGCUUUUUUUCUCCAUUUUCCUUCAGACCUUGAUGAAUCUUCGGAUGCUGCAGACUAUCUUCCAGACACAUGUGGCAAUUCCUCGGAUGCUUCUAUUAUAAGUACUACAAGUUCUUGUAGUAAGGAAUAUAAAACCACAGAAAAGAAUCUCCACCACAAAUUGUCAGAGAACAAACCAUUAGGGAAUGUUACAGCACACAGUGGGGAUAGUACCACCAGUUCAGAGAAGCCAAGAACAUUAAGUUAUUCAAAGAUGCGCAGCAAUCCUUGUACUUCAGUAAUAAGCUGCAGUGCCAAUUCAUCAGAGAACACAUCACACCAGAAAAGCUCCAUAAAUGUCACAACUUUGUCAAUAACAGCAAAAGGAAGCAAGUACAACAAGAAGCAAUUUUGUCUUUAUUGUAAAAAGGCCAUUUAUAAAUUGGCAAGACACCUCGAAUCCAUCCACAGUGAAAAGCCUGAUGUUGAAAUGGCUUUCAGUUUUUAUAAAGGAUCCCGCAAAAGAAGAGAGUUGUUACGCUCUCUUAAGAAGAGAUGAAACUUUGACCAUAAUACUGAAGUGGCAAGCUGUGGCACUGGAGAGAUGGUUGCCUGUAAAAGACCUAGUAAUGCAAAACCAUCUGAUGACUACCGUGACUGCAAAUUUUGCGAAGGACUGUAUGCAAGAAAUUCCCUAUGGAGACAUGUGAGAAACUGCCCGAAGAAGUCUGUUGAGGGAGAGCCUCAAGUUGGGCGAAAACGGAUUCAACUGCACUUACUAAGACCUGACUCAGUUAAGGAAACUGUUUGGAAGAUUGCUUGUGAAAUGAACCAGGAUGACGUUUCCUCGGUUGUAAGGAGUGAAACUGAAUUCCUUUGUAUCGGCGAGUCACUGUUCAAUUCCAGGAAACCAUAUGAGAGAAGGAAUGCCUACAUACGCCAAAAAAUUAGAGUGAUGGCAAGACUAUUGAUAAUGGCAAGGGCUAUAACACCUUUGAAGAGCACCGAAGUCCUUGUUAUGCCCUGUAACUUUCCCCAUGUGAUACAGGCAGUAAGAUAUGUUGCUGGUUAUGAUGUUGAAAGCAACUCGUAUAAAAUCCCAUCAUUGGCUUUGAAAUUGGGACACAGUUUAGCCAAAGUUGCAGGCAUUAUUCAAUGCAAUGCCAUCACUGCAAAUCGCCCUGCUGUUGCAGAGUCUGCAAAGCAAUUUGCCACUUUACAUCAGAAAAAGUGGACAGAGUCCAUUUCAGCUGCCGCAUUGGGUACACUUCAACAAGCCAAAUGGAAUAAACCACAGGUUUGACCCUUUACAGAGGAUGUGUCGGUGCUGCACACGUUUCUUGCUACUGAGCGUGCUAAGUGAAUGAAGGACCUUGAGGAAGAACCCAACAGCAAAAGCUUUGGAAAUCUUCCUAAAGUGACUUUGAUGCAGGUAGUACUAUUUAACAGAAGGAGGGAAGGGGAAGUUUCAAAAAUGGAGCUUCAGUCUUUCACAUCCAGGGAUCUUACGAAGCUUAAUCCAGACAUUGUGAGGGGCCUUACUGACUUCGAGAGGAAGCUUGCAGAGCACUUUGAGAGAGUUGAGAUUCGAGGUAAAAGGUCAAGAAAGGUUCCAGUGCUUCUAACCCCUGACAUGAUCACUGCUAUGGACCUCCUCAUGAUAAGCAGAAAAGAGUGUCAAGUCCACAAAGAAAAUGUGUACAUGUUUACACGGCCAGGUGUCCUUUCCCAUUACAGAGGCUCCGACUGCUUUCACAAGUAUGCAAACAAUGUGGUGCAAAGAACCCAGAGGCACUCACCUCAACAAGAUUGCGAAAACAAGUCGCCACUUUGUCCACACUACUAAACCUCAAAGAAAAUGAAAUGGAUCAACUUGCCACCUUUCUAGGACAUGACAUCCGUGUCCAUAGAGAAUUCUAUCGGCUUCCAGAGAGUACCCUGCAGCUCGCAAAAGUCAGCAAACUGUUGAUAGCAAUUGAAAAAGGAAGACUGCCUUACCUGCAGGGGAAAGGGCUGGAUGACAUUGAGGUCAAUCCUGAAGUAGAAAUGAGUGAUGAUGAUUCCAGUGAAGAAACCAUUGCUGACCUACAUCAUUGCAAAAGUAUCCUGACUUGUAUAUAUGUGGUAAUAUCUUUAAGUUAUGUCACAUAAAUGCACAUUUCUGUGGGGAUUAUCGAAAUGAUCCUCUAUCUGUUUUUUAACAAUCACAUUGGUGGUGAUAAGUAAUUCCACAUUUAUGGAUUUGCAAUCAGUUUAUGUUUAUAUCUCAAAUAUCAGUUAAUAUCUAAUGUAGAAUUGCAUAUUGCCUGACAUUGAGGUUGUUUACAGUGAAUAAUACAAGCAAGCAAACGUAUUGUCAUGAAGCUCAUAGAACAUAAUCACAUUCAUUAUUACUUUGCAAAGGCUCAACAACAGAGACUUCUAGGGACCAGACACUUCUGAGGCAAACACCAGAGUCAACCACCCUGGACAACAUGGAGGGCACUUCUGAGUCAACCACCCUGGACAACAUGGAGGGCACUUCUGAGUCAACCACCCUGGACAACAUGAAGGGCACUCCUGAGUCAACCACCUUGGAUAACGUACACAUGAGCAACACACAACCAAGACAUGGUAAAAUAGUCACAUCCCAAGCAUCCUCAAAGUGCUCCAAAGGAAAGCAAGCUGUGAAGGUGAGAAGCAAGUGGACAGGUGAUGAAGUGAAAGCUGUUGAGAGGCAUUUGCUUAAUUUCAUAACAAGCUGCAGAAUACCAGGUAAAAAGGACUGUGACUCCUGCCUCCAAGCAGAGCCAGUAGCUCUGAAAGACAGAGACUGGGUUGCUAUCAAAUACUACAUCCACAACAGAAAUGUAGCAUUAAAAAGGAAGAUGAAUAGAUAGAACUAGAGCAUGCCAACUGUAGCUCAGGUACCAUUCAAUUCCAAUUUCAAUCAGCUUCUCCUCAGAUAGUGUUAAUAUCUGUGGGUUUCAUGUUCAUAUUAUUUUAUUUUCCUUAAAUGAUUUAUAUUGUUGGUUCUUGUACAAACAUGCCACAUAGGCUCGACUGUAGAUCCCACAUGUUUGUAUGUUUAUGUAUAAUUGAGGGCUAUUAAUGAGCAUAUGUUUGCUACUUAUGGUCAAAUUUUUUUGGUAUAACAGUUGAUGAUAUAGGUUAAUACUCUGCUCUCAUUGACAGGGAAACGAGAUAAACAGUACUUAAAGGGAUUGUUAUUGUUCCUAAGUUUUCAGAAGCACUUUGUUCUUAACCACAAGUUGUUGAAUGUGGCAAGGUGUUUAAAUUACUGUUAAACUAUUACCAUUUCAAUGGGUGCUUGUAACAGGCCUUGUGUAUGGUAACUUGCACUAUGUAACUAUGAUGUAAAUCCCUAUGUUAUUUAGACAGGUUAGCUGAAUGUACACUGUCAUGUUUCAUAGAAGCUGGAUGCUUUAAUAGAGAGUUUCUCAUUCAUUUCAAACAUGCCAUUUCUACUGCCUUGUGCAUAGCAGGGAAGGAGGCAAAGUGUAGGUGGUCUAUUCUGGGUGUUCAAUUGAUUUGUUAAUUUGCAUAUUUUCGCUGGCACUCAAUAAAAGUAAGGCAUAAAGUGUU